CUACGGAGGGUCCAAGCGUUAUCCGGAAUCAUUGGGUUUAAAGGGUCCGUAGGCGGACAAUUAAGUCAGAGGUGAAAUCCCACAGCUCAACUGUGGAACUGCCUUUGAUACUGGUUGUCUUGAAUUAUAGUGAAGUAGAUAGAAUAUGUAGUGUAGCGGUGAAAUGCAUAGAUAUUACAUAGAAUACCGAUUGCGAAGGCAGUCUACUAACUGUAUAUUGACGCUGAUGGACGAAAGCGUGGGGAGCGAACAGGAUUAGAAACCCCAGUAGUCC
Molecule: ribosomal RNA, 274 nt
Filed under: uncultured bacterium
Lineage: Bacteria
Description: partial 16S ribosomal RNA
Rfam family: Bacterial small subunit ribosomal RNA
Source: RNAcentral